RNAcentral lists this ribosomal RNA (228 nucleotides) under uncultured bacterium. RNAcentral describes it as "partial 16S ribosomal RNA". It matches the Rfam family "Bacterial small subunit ribosomal RNA", at positions 103 to 334 of the family's 1533-position model. The record is from RNAcentral.
CGGGUGAGUAAUGUAUGGGGAUCUGCCUGAUGGCGGGGGAUAACUACUGGAAACGGUAGCUAAUACCGCAUAAUGUCUGCGGACCAAAGCGGGGGACCUCCGGGCCUCGCGCCAUCAGAUGAACCCAUAUGGGAUUAGCUUGUAGGUAGGGUAACGGCUUACCUAGGCGACGAUCCCUAGCUGGUCUGAGAGGAUGAUCAGCCACACUGGGACUGAGACACGGCCCAG